This is a long non-coding RNA of Gossypium arboreum, 380 nucleotides long. RefSeq lists it as uncharacterized. Lineage: Eukaryota; Viridiplantae; Streptophyta; Magnoliopsida; Malvales; Malvaceae. The record is from RefSeq and is a predicted model, not a curated record. The transcript is spliced from 3 exons.
AAAAGAAAAGGGUGAAAAGAACAAAGUUUUGUCCAUCUUUGUUCAUCAUAGCUGAAAGUUAGAGAAGAGAAAGGAGAGGAGAAAGCUCUUGAGUAUUCGGUCAUUAGGAGGAGGAAAAUUGAAGGCAGUUCGUGUGUGGAUCUCGUCAGCAUAUCGUCGCAAACAGAUAAAUCGAUAUGAGUACGAGAGCUACUCGGGGAAGAGGCCGUGGUCGAGGCCGUGGUCGAAGCCGAGGUAGUACUCAAGCCGGAUCUUCGUCUUCUGAACACAUACCCGCUGGAGUAGCACGACCACCACCGGUGGAUGAGAAUGGGCCGUAUGAUCGGGCCGCGGGGGAUGGCGCUCUGUCCCAGGCCAUGUUAAGAGUUUUGGAAAGGGUG